GCCCUCGACUCUCUCCCAUGCCGCUGCUGCCCAGCACGGGAAAAGCCAUGGGCCCUGGAUCCUUUAUACCUGUGUGACUUCGGGAGCAAAAUUACCCAGAUCUCAUCUUCCUCCUAGCCUCUUCUGCUGUUUGAACACAUGUGAGCAUGGUUCUGGGGUUUGGGAUUCAUCAAUCACUGGGAAAAAAAGCCCCUGUUUCUGUGCUAACCCCACCAGUUUCAUCAUCUGAGAGCAGACUUCUCAUGCGUCCUGGAACUGACUUACCAUCAGCUUAUCUCAUGGGCAUGUAAGACCUGAAAAAAAAUCUCAGGUUCCCUUGACUGUCUGCAAUGCUUCUG
This is a long non-coding RNA of Tachyglossus aculeatus (Australian echidna), 338 nucleotides long. RefSeq lists it as uncharacterized. The transcript has 3 exons. The record is from RefSeq and is a predicted model, not a curated record. Lineage: Eukaryota; Metazoa; Chordata; Mammalia; Monotremata; Tachyglossidae.